CGGGGCGUGGCGCAGCUUGGUAGCGCACUAGCAUGGGGCGCUAGGGGUCGUGGGUUCAAAUCCCGCCGUCCCGACCA
This 77-nucleotide transfer RNA is filed under the name Legionellales bacterium. RNAcentral's name for it is "tRNA-Pro". It matches the Rfam family "tRNA". Rfam says of the family: Transfer RNA (tRNA) molecules are approximately 80 nucleotides in length. Lineage: Bacteria; Pseudomonadati; Pseudomonadota; Gammaproteobacteria; Legionellales. The record is from RNAcentral.